This 469-nucleotide ribosomal RNA is filed under the name uncultured Methanomicrobiales archaeon. RNAcentral's name for it is "bacterial SSU rRNA". It matches the Rfam family "Archaeal small subunit ribosomal RNA", at positions 871 to 1337 of the family's 1478-position model. The record is from RNAcentral. Lineage: Archaea; Methanobacteriati; Methanobacteriota; Methanomicrobia; Methanomicrobiales.
CGGGGAGCACCACAACAGGUGGAGCCUGCGGUUUAAUCGGACUCAACGCCGGGAAACUCACCAGAUAAGACAGCUGAAUGAUAGUCGGGCUGAAGACUCUACUUGACUAGCUGAGAGGAGGUGCAUGGCCGUCGUCAGUUCGUACUGUGAAGCAUCCUGUUAAGUCAGGCAACGAGCGAGACCCACGCCAACAGUUGCCAGCUCGUCCUCCGGGAUGGUGGGGACACUGUUGGGACCGCCUCUGCUAAAGAGGAGGAAGGAAUGGGCAACGGUAGGUCAGCAUGCCCCGAAUUAUCCGGGCUACACGCGGGCUACAAUGGUCAGGACAAUGGGUAUCGACACCGAGAGGUGGAGGCAAUCUCCUAAACCCAUCCGUAGUUCGGAUUGUGGGCUGCAACUCGCCCACAUGAAGCUGGAAUCUGUAGUAAUCGUGUCUCAAAAUGGCACGGUGAAUAUGUCCCUGCUCCUU